AGAACGAACGCUGGCGGCAGGCUUAACACAUGCAAGUCGAGCGCCCACUUCGGUGGGAGCGGCAGACGGGUGAGUAACGCGUGGGAAUCUACCCAUCUCUACGGAACAACUCCGGGAAACUGGAGCUAAUACCGUAUACGUCCCCUUUUAGAGAUAUUUGGGGAGAAAGAUUUAUCGGGGAUGGAUGAGCCCGCGUUGGAUUAGCUAGUUGGUGGGGUAAAGGCCUACCAAGGCGACGAUCCAUAGCUAGUCUGAGAGGAUGAUCAGCCACACUGGGACUGAGACACGGCCCAGACUCUACGGGAGGCAGCAGUGGGGAAUAUUGGACAAUGGGCGCAAGCCUGAUCCAGCCAUGCCGCGUGAGUGAUGAAGGCCCUAGGGUUGUAAAGCUACUUUCGCCGAUGAAGAUAAUGACGGUAGUCGGAGAAGAAGCCCCGGCUAACUUCGUAGCCAGCAGCCGCGGU
RNAcentral lists this ribosomal RNA (464 nucleotides) under uncultured soil bacterium. RNAcentral's name for it is "bacterial SSU rRNA". It matches the Rfam family "Bacterial small subunit ribosomal RNA", at positions 26 to 521 of the family's 1533-position model. The record is from RNAcentral.